AGUUCCUGAUCUACAUGAAUCUACUACAGAGACUUCUCAACGCUGCCUGUAAUAGGAAAUGCUGGUCUACAGAAAACCAGGUCAACACACAGCCAUUCUCUCAGGAGAGCUGAAGGAUGGCUCGGGGAACUUCACGUGUGGAACAUGAAUCGCACACUCACCAAGUAGACCCUGACACCCGCAGCGGCUGUGUGGUGAGCACACAGAGAAAGAAUCGGGCACAGAUGUGGAAAAUAGAAAAUCCCCAAGUUUAUUUCUUUCCUCACUCUGCUCUGAAUACAGAAGCAUGCAGACGGGUGGAUUUUGCUGGGUCAAAUGCUUUCUUGCUGAUUCACUACUGUGGAUACAAUUGCUAGAGACAAAGGAUGUUUCCUGAGCUCCACGGCCCUUCUCUAGCUACUCAUCGGCUUCUAUGUUGACUGAUUUAAUAGCUUUGAUUCCCAGUCUCAGAAAUAACUUUGUGCCUGUGUUUCAUAGGAGUGGACUUAUUAGUACUUUCCUGAUGAGAUUGAUUGAAUUCUUUACCUGAAUUAGAAAACAAAGGAAAGUUAAAGUACAAUAUUCCCCAAAUAGUUCCAAUAUUUCUACCUUUGCGUUCUGUCUUUUGUCUUAACAAAUUUGAUUAAAUUUAAAAUUAAAAUUUAAUGAUGGUAAUGCACUGAAUACAUCAAUAUAUUUUGAUGACAUUACCGCAGCGCAGUGUUGAAUUUUGUAUUCUAUCUGGGUCAGCUAUGUAAAUCGACAACAUUAAUGAGCUUUUAUUAAAUCAUCUUAGUAAAAGCUCCACUGUCUUAACUGUUUACUUAAUUCUACAGCCAACAAAAAACAGCUGUCACCUUCUGACAGAUCUUAUUCAGAAUGAGAGUCUUCUUCUUACAGGGGGGAAAAUUUGAUGUAAGCUGUAAUCCAACAGUGAUGUCAUAUUUAGAGUCCACAAAAUGGACGCUGUUAUAAAAUUCAGGCCUUAUAGAUCCCACCUUGCUGUUAGAGAAACAGGAAUGAGGGGAAGAAGUUCAAGGGGAAUGCUGUGCUUCUGUCAUUUGUUUUAUAUACAGAGUGUUACUCUGCAGAGAGCACGGAAUUACUUAUAGACAUCUGCACUGACUUGGGGGAUCCAACCCCUGAGAAAAUUUUGAGCCAGACUGACAUAGCUAGGCAGCAACCCACUUCCUGCUCCUGAACAAGAAAUGUUCCCUAGGUAAGUUGAUAUAUCACUUAAUGGCUACAUAAUUAAUACAUUUUUCAACAUUGUUAAGAUAGCAUAGGUUUUUUUCCACCCCUAAACAGUAAGUUUAAACAGCAUAUUCAAAUAAAGUCUGGCACACACACACACACACACACACACAAAAUAAACUCCUGUAUUCAAGAAACAAGACCAGGAGUUCCUCG
Molecule: long non-coding RNA, 1389 nt
Organism: Marmota monax (woodchuck)
Lineage: Eukaryota; Metazoa; Chordata; Mammalia; Rodentia; Sciuridae
Exons: 3
Source: RefSeq, a predicted model, not a curated record